This 661-nucleotide ribosomal RNA is filed under the name Phyllonastes myrmecoides (Loreto leaf frog). RNAcentral describes it as "Noblella myrmecoides (Loreto leaf frog) partial 12S ribosomal RNA". It matches the Rfam family "Bacterial small subunit ribosomal RNA", at positions 9 to 1047 of the family's 1533-position model. The record is from RNAcentral. Lineage: Eukaryota; Metazoa; Chordata; Amphibia; Anura; Craugastoridae.
GGGCCCUAAUACAGCCCUUUAAAUACACAGGUCUGGUCCUGGCCUUCAAAUCAACUUUUUCUCGACCUACACAUGCAAGUUUCCGCCCACCAGUGAGUAUAUCCUUCAACCUCUUUUUAGAGCGGAGGAUUUGGUAUCAGGUUAUACACCAAAAACACCCAGCUACGCCACACCCACAAGGGUAUACAGCAGUGACUAACAUUGACUAUGAACGCAAGUUUGAAUCAGUCAGAGAAACCAGAGCUGGCAAAGAUGGUGCCAGCCGCCGCGGCUAAACCUUUCGGCUCAAAUUGAUUUUCACCGGCGUAAAGCGUGAUUAAAGUCUCACCCAAACUAGGGUUAAACCCAGACUACUUGUAAAAACUAUGUCUUUGAGAAAUCCCAACACGAAAGUUACCCUAUUUUCACUUGAAUCCACGACAGUUAAGACACAAACUGGGAUUAGAUACCCCACUAUGCUUAACCGUAAACUUUUACUUACACCCUCCCCUCCAACGCCAGGAUACUACGAGCAAAGCUUAAAACCCAAAGGACUUGACGGUGCCCCACAUCCCCCUAGAGGAGCCUGUCCCAUAACCGAUGAUCCCCGUUAAACCUCACCAUUUUUAGCCUAUCAACCUGUAUACUUCCGUCCACAGCCCACCACGUAAAGUGACACCAA